GACGAACGCUGGCGGCGUGCUUAACACAUGCAAGUCGAACGGAAAGGCCCUGCUUUUGUGGGGUGCUCGAGUGGCGAACGGGUGAGUAACACGUGAGUAACCUGCCCUUGACUUUGGGAUAACUUCAGGAAACUGGGGCUAAUACCGGAUAGGAGCUCCUGCUGCAUGGUGGGGGUUGGAAAGUUUCGGCGGUUGGGGAUGGACUCGCGGCUUAUCAGCUUGUUGGUGGGGUAGUGGCUUACCAAGGCUUUGACGGGUAGCCGGCCUGAGAGGGUGACCGGCCACAGUGGGACUGAGGUGCGGCGCAGACGGCUACGGGAGGCAGCAGGGGGGAAUAUGGCACAAGGGGCGGAAGCCUGAUGCAGCAACGCCGCGUGGGGGAUGACGGCCUUCGGGUUGUAAACCGCGUUCGCCUGUGACGAAGCGUGAGUGACGGUAAUGGGUAAAGACGCACCGGCUAACUACGUG
RNAcentral lists this ribosomal RNA (468 nucleotides) under uncultured bacterium. RNAcentral describes it as "partial 16S ribosomal RNA". It matches the Rfam family "Bacterial small subunit ribosomal RNA", at positions 28 to 507 of the family's 1533-position model. The record is from RNAcentral.